Molecule: long non-coding RNA, 1925 nt
Organism: Pezoporus occidentalis (night parrot)
Lineage: Eukaryota; Metazoa; Chordata; Aves; Psittaciformes; Psittacidae
Exons: 2
Source: RefSeq, a predicted model, not a curated record
CAUCCUCAGUUCCUCAGGCCCUUCCUUGGUUUCUGUGAGGGCCAGUGGGUCCCUUGGCAUAUCAGUCAGAAAUCCAUUCUAGCAAAUACAGGCAGGCAGCAGUGUGGGAAGUGCCUCUGGGUGCUUCACUGGUAAGAAGACUGUGGGGACCAGUGUUCUCCAAAGGGAAGAGCAAUAUGGUGGCUUCUAGCGACUGGGAGGAAGUGGGAGAGUGUCUGAGGAAAGGAAGGAAGCCUUUGCUUCCUACAGGUGCAGUUUCAAAGACAGAUCACCCCCACCAAAUGCUGCAGCCGUCACCUCCUCGCAGCCUCAGGACAUGCUGAUUAUCCGAAGCUGCCACUGGACUCCUCCACAGGCUGAUUCAAAUUGCUUAGCAGAAAAGUAAGCCUGCCAAGGCAGCAGGUAAUUUCAUGUUGGAUUUGUGAAUUGAAUUAGCUCAUAGGAGAAUCUUUGUGGAGAACUGACACAAAAAUAUCGUGUGCCUCGGAAUGGGGAGAGAAGCAUGGUCAGGUAGCAUGAGGAAAACAGAGUAAUGGAAGAGAUCAGGGGACAGAGGAGGAGGGUAGGGAAGGGGAAAGGAGAGGCAAAGAGGGGUCAUGAGUGACAUGCAGCUGUUAGUGUGCUAACCACUAGGCAGGUCACCACAGAUGAGAAGACCAUCAGGAACAUCUGAAAUAUGACUUUACUGUCUUUGCUAUUCAGUGUCUCCACUAUCCCAAGUGCUCCUUCACCUUUACUAAUUUCAAGUCUUGUCACACAUCUAUAUUUGUCUUGGACAGGAGAAGUUUUAUGUCUCAGGAUUUGAGCCAGGCACUCUCUCCUGUGAUUUUUGGUGGCAUUAGACCUCUGUCCACAUGCAGUGAAUUAUAGCUAACCAGUGAGGAUAUUAAUACCCUGUGGCACAGAUCACCACCAAGCACAACUGACUGCUGCAUAAUCUGUUUUUAAUUUCACCACUUCUAGGAUGAAAGAAAUUGUGAAGCUUAACUCUCAAGGAGCAUUGUAGAGAAUUAACACUCAGGGACAAAAUCUGCUUCCAUUUCCAUUGCCAUAAGAAAUUUUCUCCCCCAUAAGUGUUCUACCUAUUAUUCUAUCAUACAGGUGAAGGAAGGCAUCUCCAGAUAUGACUUAGAGAAAAGAUUCAGGAAAAACUGCACUCAGCACCAGCUUUUAAGAGAAGGCUAUGGCUGUGGGUUCCAGGCAAACAGAGGCUUUUUCUUGGAUAUCCUUGUGAGCAUAAGGUCAUGUUUCAGGAAAAGCUCUCUCCUUGGUGUUUCUUACUAGCUGGCUGUAGGUGGCUUCCCAUCAAGCUGGUUUCCCGCAGACAGCCCCUAUUCACCAUACAACAUGAUACUAAAUCCCAGUCCCAGCUACCUUAUUCCCUUGUCGGUGAAGGAAGUCUUACUCAAGGUUCUGCUUUUCAGAACCUUUUCUGAGCUUCUGAGCUGUGUCAUAAACUCACCAAGACUAUAUGGCAAGCCUUUUGUGCUUGCUGAAAGAUCAGUGUCUGCAGGCUGCAUCUAUAGUAGCAAACCAAUCAGUUCCAGGGUGUGUACUAAAUGCUGCACCUCCAGUGUCUUCUGUACAACUGCCAGUGGUUGCUGGUUUUGACCCAGACUGGUCAUCAGUCUUCUAAACAUAGGCCUUGGGUAUGCGUCAGAAGUUAGUAUGGUUAUGGGCCACUUCCAAUAGGCAGUUUGGAUAAAGUAAUUUGGUUUUGAAGGGUAAGGUAAUUUUAUGUUAUGAACAUGGGUUGUACUGUUCCAGUUGACUUCAAUGCCACAGGCCUGCCCUGGGCUUGAUUAACUUACUAGCAGAAACAUGGGGAAAAAAGUUGAUUGUAUUUUGGGCUUGGGUGUUAAUAUAGAGUAUUUAGUAUUAGUGCUUAUUUGGACAAGUCUAAAUAAAGUUCCUUCAUACAUUAA